Molecule: long non-coding RNA, 2127 nt
Organism: Ceratitis capitata (Mediterranean fruit fly)
Lineage: Eukaryota; Metazoa; Arthropoda; Insecta; Diptera; Tephritidae
Exons: 3
Source: RefSeq, a predicted model, not a curated record
GAAUCAUUAUUAGCGCGCCAUUCCUCUCUUCUUUUCGCUGUCUGACGCCGGUUGGAAAUACCAAAUAAGGGGAGAGCACUCUCUACCUGAUGUUUCCCAACAGAGUUGAGUUCUUCCUCUUACUGUGGUAAGCUGGUAGUGCAUCGAAUACUAUCAAAGCUGCAGUAUUCUUAUCCAUACGGACUACAUCACCUCUCCAGCGUAGAAGAUGUCUACAGGCAUCUAGUAUAUCAAGCAAAACGCUGGAUACGACCUUAUAUGUGAUGUUAAGAAGGCUUAUUCCACGGUAGUUGGCACGGACUGUAAGAUCGCUUUUUUGUGGAUUGGGCAGAGCAUACUUCGGUUCCAAUCGUCGGGCCUGCUUUCGUCCGACCAUAUUCUGCAAAGAAGCUGAUGCAUUCACCUGAUUAGUUCUUCACCGCCGAGUUUUGAGUAGCUUGGCAGGUAAUCCAUCGGUCCCCGCGGCUUUGUUGUUUCUAAGUGGCGAUUGCUUUUCUAUCGUCAUCAAUUGGAGUUUCAGGUUCACCUUCCCCGAGUGUUUCAUUUUCACCGCCAUUAUUAGGCAUAUUCUGGGCAUUUCCGUAUAAACCUACUUAUUGAGUGCUUUUCAUCUCCUUUUCCCAAUGUAAUUAUAUAGCAGCUGACAAAAAAAUGUUUAGCUGUUUAGUAUAAGAACCAAGUAUAACCGCGACCUUCCGCGUAAAACGGGUCAAAAAAAAAUUAAGAAAAAAGCUAAAAGUAAUGCCAGCGAAGAAAGAAAGUAAGCAUUGUUUAGGUAAUUGUGAAGAGUAAGUUUCCUAAGCUUGCUUGAUGGUACAUUUUGGUAGCAUUUUGAUUUGUUAUAUUCCCUUUGGUUAAAGGAAUCUAAGGCAUUUAUUGAAGUCAGUGGCGCGGUCAUUAUCACAAUUGGCACAAUUGAUGGGAGUGCAUUUGUGUGGGAGAGGGGUGAGGUCAUACAUUGCACACGUGGGAUCGUUCCGACAAUGCUUGAUUGUGUGACGCAGGCUUUUUUGUUUCGCAUUGAGAUGGGAAAAGUACACUCUUAAACGUUCUUAGUGCCCAGAAAUUGUAAUGGUUUCAAGCAAACGGAUGAACCGUCGAAAGUUAGUAACAACUCUGCUAGGAACCAUUCUGUUUUUAAAUUGUUUAAUAAAUUUGUGCGGCGUAAUGACACCUUUCGAAGCAAGUUCUUUGGAAAUAACGUCAUCUGAUAAUUUUUUUAAAUAAAGGGUGUAAAGCGUUCUUUGUACAGAAUUUAAAUUUUCAUAAGAUUUACAUUUCACUUCAUAUAUGUCCGGUAUUUCUUUAAUUGAGACAAACUCUUCUGCAGUUUUAUUAUCUUUUGCUUAAAAUAGUAAACUACCGUCUCAUAGCUCAGGUAUAAUAUCAACACCGCUGCUUAUUACUUGAAGAGAUCUAUGCUCAGCGAAGCACGACUAAUGUGAUAUAGGAUUUUUCCAUUGGAUUCAGAUAUGAUCAGAUAUUUCGGACUAGGUAAUGGUAUUGUAGAAUUUAGUAGAAAAUCUUUUUUUGUUUGAAUGGAAACUGGUUGCCGACGGAGCAAAACCAAUGGUCCCCAAAGCUGAUGUGGAACUUCCAGGGCUCUGCUUCAAAAAUGUUUUCACGAGCAUUAAGAUGUCCAUGCCAACAUCAAGGAAAGCUCAGACCGUUCUAGUACCGCUUCGUUAGUGCUCAGCGCAGAGGUCCACAAUACAAUCUUAGGAAGGAUGCUCUCGAGCAAACCUUUCUAAGAAAGGAAGAAUGCAGACAAUGGUGACUUAGAUUAAAUAAUAAUUGAUGUUGUAAGUCGGGCGGCAUGUUUGAGGAUGCAAACCUAAGCAGACCCCAUAAUCUCCACCUACAGAUGUCGCUUCAACUGGUGAAAAAUAUGACCUAUCUCUCUUGGGAUGCGUUGUUGAUCUCCGUCCCGCUGUAUAUUCCACUUUUUGAUGAAAUGCAUAAAAAGGCGACGUUGCUGUUUUAAGCUUCUCUUUUACUUUUGAAGAUCAGCAGCGCCGACAUCAGGGGAAGUUUUCUCUUGUGAAGACCACAAGUCCGAGGCAUUGGACCCUCCACAGCAACAACAACAAAAGAGAAGUUAUAUAAACAUAUAUAUAUAUAAAUAUA